CCCGGUGAACAUACCCUGAAGGAAACACUCGUUCCCAUUCCGAACACGACAGUUAAGCUUCUGGGGCCGAUGAUAGUGCCCACCAGUGCGAAAGUAGGUCAUCGCCGGGU
Molecule: ribosomal RNA, 110 nt
Filed under: Planctomycetaceae bacterium
Lineage: Bacteria; Pseudomonadati; Planctomycetota; Planctomycetia; Planctomycetales; Planctomycetaceae
Source: RNAcentral